UAGGGAAUCUUCCACAAUGGACGCAAGUCUGAUGGAGCAACGCCGCGUGAGUGAAGAAGGUUUUCGGACCGUAAAGCUCUGUUGUUGGUGAAGAAGGAUAGAGGUAGUAACUGGCCUUUAUUUGACGGUAAUCAACCAGAAAGUCACGGCUAACUACGUGCCAGCAGCCGCGGUAAUACGUAGGUGGCAAGCGUUGUCCGGAUUUAUUGGGCGUAAAGCGAGCGCAGGCGGAGGAAUAAGUCUGAUGUGAAAGCCCUCGGCUUAACCGAGGAAUUGCAUCGGAAACUGUUUUCUGAGUGCAGAAGAGGAGAGUAGAACUCCAUGUGUAGCGGUGGAAUGCGUAGAUAUAUGGAAGAAUACCAGUGGCGAAGGCGGCUCUCUGGUCUGCAACUGACGCUGAGGCUCGAAAAGCAUGGGUAGCGAACAGGAUUAGAUACCCUGGUAGUCCAUGCCGUAAACGAUGAGUGCUAAGUGUUGGGAGGCUUCCGCCUCUCAGUGCUGCAGCUAACGCAUU
RNAcentral lists this ribosomal RNA (514 nucleotides) under uncultured bacterium. Its description in RNAcentral is "partial 16S ribosomal RNA". It matches the Rfam family "Bacterial small subunit ribosomal RNA", at positions 355 to 861 of the family's 1533-position model. The record is from RNAcentral.